AGAGUUUGAUCCUGGCUCAGGAUGAACGCUAGCGGCAGGCUUAACACAUGCAAGUCGAGGGGUAACAUUGAUUGCUUGCAAUCAGAUGACGACCGGCGCACGGGUGCGUAACGCGUAUACAAUCUACCUUUUACAGAGGGAUAGCCCAGAGAAAUUUGGAUUAAUACCUCAUAGAAUUAUAAGAUGGCAUCAUUUAAUAAUUAAAGUUUCGGCGGUAAAAGAUGAGUAUGCGUUCUAUUAGCUAGUAGGUAAGGUAACGGCUUACCUAGGCGACGAUAGAUAGGGGUCCUGAGAGGGAGACCCCCCACACUGGUACUGAGACACGGACCAGACUCCUACGGGAGGCAGCAGUGAGGAAUAUUGGGCAAUGGAGGCAACUCUGACCCAGCCAUGCCGCGUGCAGGAAGACUGCCCUAUGGGUUGUAAACUGCUUUUAUACGGGAAGAAACCCAACUACGUGUAGUUGGGGGACGGACNGA
RNAcentral lists this ribosomal RNA (479 nucleotides) under uncultured bacterium. RNAcentral describes it as "bacterial SSU rRNA". It matches the Rfam family "Bacterial small subunit ribosomal RNA", at positions 8 to 481 of the family's 1533-position model. The record is from RNAcentral.